AUGUUUUUUCCAAUUUUAUCCUUCCCAUCAACACAUCAGAACUCUAAAGUUAAGCGUGGUUAGAUGAGAGUAGUAUUAGGAUGGGUGACUCCCCGGGAAGUCCUCGUGUUGCAAACC
Non-coding RNA from Ilex paraguariensis (yerba mate), 117 nucleotides. NCBI's taxonomy places the organism in Eukaryota, Viridiplantae, Streptophyta, Magnoliopsida, Aquifoliales, Aquifoliaceae. The record is from the annotation of a GenBank genome assembly.